AUUGAACGCUGGCGGAAUGCUUUACACAUGCAAGUCGAACGGCAGCACGGGGCAACCUGGUGGCGAGUGGCGAACGGGUGAGUAAUACAUCGGAACGUGCCCAAUCGUGGGGGAUAACGUAGCGAAAGUUACGCUAAUACCGCAUACGAUCUACGGAUGAAAGCGGGGGAUCGCAAGACCUCGCGCGAAUGGAGCGGCCGAUGUCAGAUUAGGUAGUUGGUGGGGUAAAGGCUCACCAAGCCGACGAUCUGUAGCUGGUCUGAGAGGACGACCAGCCACACUGGGACUGAGACACGGCCCAGACUCCUACGGGAGGCAGCAGUGGGGAAUUUUGGACAAUGGGCGCAAGCCUGAUCCAGCCAUUCCGCGUGCAGGAUGAAGGCCUUCGGUUGUAAACUGCUUUGUACGGAACGAAAGGACUCUGGUUAAUACCUGGAGUUUAUGACGGUACCGUAAGAAUAAGCACCGGCUAACUACGUGCCAGCAGCCGCGGUAAUU
Molecule: ribosomal RNA, 498 nt
Filed under: uncultured bacterium
Lineage: Bacteria
Description: bacterial SSU rRNA
Rfam family: Bacterial small subunit ribosomal RNA
Source: RNAcentral